CAGCUUCCAUGGGAACCACUCCAGGAUUCAGGAACACCCAGGGAGUGCUAGAACCUAGCGGAGGCACAUUCCCUCCUGAGCCCUAAAUUAUGAAGGCUCAUGAGGCUCAGUCUGCAGCAGGAGACCGCUAGCAAAGCUAAACCCACAAUCUGCUCCAAAUGGACAGGACCGGCCACAGCUACCUCUCCCCUACAGAAAAUUCCUGAAGAAAUGGGUAGGGAAGACCAAAAAGCAAAUGAGAAAAAGGAAGAAAGAGCAGGAGAAGGUGGGUACAAUGCUGCCCAGCGUGACCUCCAGUCCAGCGACUGCAGACUUCAGUUCCUUCACCACCUUGCUCUCACCAUUAAAGGCAAAGGUAUUUUUGAAUGAUGAUUCUAUUUCCCUUCUUCCUCAAGACCUCGUCUGUGCUUACCAAAGUCUCCUGAAGGGGAGUGGCUUCAUUUAAGGUGUGCAGGGGUCCCCAUUAGACUUGCCACGGGAGGCCAUUUUUUAGUAAGUGCACAACCACCACCAUAUUGUCCUCUUGUCUCCGAAGGGAGGAAUCUGGCAUCACCUCCCAGCUCCGUUCGCACCCUCUCGCUGCUCACAGGCAAAGGCUCACAGGUGCACGUCUAGAGGUCACAGAUAGAAAAAUCCACCUUCUCCGCGACCCUGGGGGCUGCCUGGGUCUGGCUGUAAGAGGCAGAGACUGGCAUAUGUUGGGGCGGGGGAGUGAACGGUACGUUGGAGCAUUUUCGGAACUCUGAGUGCUCUCUUCCCUUAUUGUGCUGCCGGGCGGCCACCCACGAGUACCAGGUGCUGUCAUGGAGACGCUUCCGAAACAGCUGGACCGGCUGCUCGGAAUGCGAGCUGCUGAGAGAGAACGGGACUGUGCACGAGAUGUGGGUGGGGGUUGUUCCAAAGGGAACAGUGAGAACAAGUGAUAAGGACCGCUUUGGGAAUGGCGACGGUUAUGAAUUAAAAAAUAGAGCCUUCCUCUUUGGGUCGAAGGUCAGAGGAGUCUAAUAUGGUUUUUGAUAUGAGAGUGAGAACCAAGGAUUUACCUUGCUAAUAGCACUAAGGUGCCAGUCCAGGCCUCUUCCAUCCUCUAGCAAAUAGGAUGAUUUAUGUACCUGCUGUGUGGUGAUCCCUGUGCUGUGUGCUGUGGACCAUGGCUACUCAAAGGUGAACUAGGCACAUCUGAGGGGCUGUUCAGUGCAAGCUCUCAUCAGACAGAGCCCAGUUAAAUGCCAGCUCCUCCAUUCACUGGCUGUGUGUCUUUUGGUAUGUUACCGAACCUCUUUGUGCCUCAAUUUCUUCAUCUUAGAAAUAAAGCCUUUCUCAUAGGUUGUGGGGAUUCAGUAAGAUAAUACGUUGUAAGGAGCAUAGCAUAGCACAUCAUCAGUGUUUAAAAAUUAGAUGUGACUAAUUUUAGUAAAUUAAUUUUUAAUAAGGUCCAAGGUAAACUCUGGUUAGUGCUCCCCUGGGAGAAAUUCAAAAGAAGGAGAGAGUGUCUGAGUGUGAGAUAAGCAGGUAGGUGUCCCGAACGAGGAGACACAGGCAAGAUCUCCAACACCUGUUCCACUAUAGGGUACUGAUGGGAAAGGUAACCUCGUCAUGAAUUUUCACACUCUUUUCAAUCCAAAGGCUUGGAAGGAUGAGAGAAAUGUCUGCAGACAAAAAUUUCUCAGAGGAAGAGGACAUUUUAAGAGGCAAAAAUAAUGGUUAAUCAUGAUCAAUUAUUAAUUCUCAC
Long non-coding RNA from Equus caballus (horse), 1732 nucleotides. Lineage: Eukaryota; Metazoa; Chordata; Mammalia; Perissodactyla; Equidae. The record is from Ensembl.